AAGCGGUGGAGUAUGUUGGUUUAAUUCGAUGCAACGCGAAGAACCUUACCUGGUCUUGACAUCCCGGAGACCCUUAGGAACUAGGGGUGCUUCCAUCUGGAAGAAUCUGGAGACAGGUGCUGCAUGGCUGUCGUCAGCUCGUGUCGUGAGAUGUUGGGUUAAGUCCCGCAACGAGCGCAACCCUUGCCUUUAGUUGCCAGCAGUUCGGCUGGGCACUCUAAAGGGACUGCCGGUGUUAAACCGGAGGAAGGUGGGGAUGACGUCAAGUCCUCAUGGCCUUUAUGACCAGGGCUACACACGUACUACAAUGGCCGAUACAAAGGGCAGCGACACUGCGAGGUGAAGCCAAUCCCGUAAAAUCGGUCUCAGUCCGGAUUGGAGUCUGCAACUCGACUCCAUGAAGUUGGAAUCGCUAGUAAUCGUGGAUCAGCAUGCCACGGUGAAUACGUUCCCGGGCCUU
RNAcentral lists this ribosomal RNA (460 nucleotides) under uncultured Desulfobulbus sp. RNAcentral describes it as "bacterial SSU rRNA". It matches the Rfam family "Bacterial small subunit ribosomal RNA", at positions 927 to 1382 of the family's 1533-position model. The record is from RNAcentral. Lineage: Bacteria; Pseudomonadati; Thermodesulfobacteriota; Desulfobulbia; Desulfobulbales; Desulfobulbaceae.